AUCCAGUUGAUGAGUUUCAAAUAGGACGAAACUCGUGUGCUGGAU
Non-coding RNA from Schistosoma mansoni, 45 nucleotides. Lineage: Eukaryota; Metazoa; Platyhelminthes; Trematoda; Strigeidida; Schistosomatidae. The record is from Rfam.